This 497-nucleotide ribosomal RNA is filed under the name uncultured bacterium. RNAcentral's name for it is "partial 16S ribosomal RNA". It matches the Rfam family "Bacterial small subunit ribosomal RNA", at positions 28 to 507 of the family's 1533-position model. The record is from RNAcentral.
GAUGAACGCUGGCGGCGUGCCUAAUACAUGCAAGUCGAGCGAACAGACGAGGAGCUUGCUCCUCUGACGUUAGCGGCGGAAGGGUGAGUAACACGUGGAUAACCUACCUAUAAGACUGGGAUAACUUCGGGAAACCGGAGCUAAUACCGGAUAAUAUGUUGAACCGCAUGGUUCAAUAGUGAAAGACGGUUUUGCUGUCACUUAUAGAUGGAUCCGCGCCGCAUUAGCUAGUUGGUAAGGUAACGGCUUACCAAGGCAACGAUGCGUAGCCGACCUGAGAGGGUGAUCGGCCACACUGGAACUGAGACACGGUCCAGACUCCUACGGGAGGCAGCAGUAGGGAAUCUUCCGCAAUGGGCGAAAGCCUGACGGAGCAACGCCGCGUGAGUGAUGAAGGUCUUCGGAUCGUAAAACUCUGUUAUUAGGGAAGAACAAAUGUGUAAGUAACUAUGCACGUCUUGACGGUACCUAAUCAGAAAGCCACGGCUAACUACGUG